This 232-nucleotide ribosomal RNA is filed under the name uncultured bacterium. Its description in RNAcentral is "partial 16S ribosomal RNA". It matches the Rfam family "Bacterial small subunit ribosomal RNA", at positions 99 to 334 of the family's 1533-position model. The record is from RNAcentral.
CGGACGGGUGAGUAAUGUCUGGGAAACUGCCUGAUGGAGGGGGGUAACUACUGGAAACGGUAGCUAAUACCGCAUAACGUCGCAAGACCAAAGAGGGGGACCUUGGGGCCUCUUGCCAUCGGAUGUGCCCAGAUGGGAUUAGCUAGUAGGUGGGGUAACGGCUCACCUAGGCGACGAUCCCUAGCUGGUCUGAGAGGAUGACCAGCCACACUGGAACUGAGACACGGUCCAG